RNAcentral lists this ribosomal RNA (384 nucleotides) under Clydaea sp. RNAcentral's name for it is "partial small subunit ribosomal RNA". It matches the Rfam family "Eukaryotic small subunit ribosomal RNA", at positions 587 to 975 of the family's 1831-position model. Lineage: Eukaryota; Fungi; Chytridiomycota; Chytridiomycetes; Lobulomycetales; Lobulomycetaceae. The record is from RNAcentral.
AGCUCCAAUAGCGUAUAUUCAAGUUGUUGCAGUUAAAAAGCUCGUAGUUGAAUUUUGACCCUGGUUAACCGGUAUGGACGCAAGUCCAUCACUGGUUUGGCUGGGGUUUUCCUUCUAGGGAACUAGUGUGCUCUUUAUUGAGUGCGCUAGGGAUCUAGGACUGUUACUUUGAAAAAAUUAGAGUGUUUAAAACAGGCUUAUGCUUGAAUACAUUAGCAUGGAAUAACGGAAUAGGACUUUGUUUCUAUUUUGUUGGUUUUCAGAAACGAAGUAAUGAUUAAUAGGGAUAGUUGGGGGCAUUAGUAUUCCACAGUCAGAGGUGAAAUUCUUGGAUUUGUGAAAGACUAACUUCUGCGAAAGCAUUUGCCAAGGAUGUUUUCAUUA